Molecule: long non-coding RNA, 503 nt
Organism: Camelina sativa (false flax)
Lineage: Eukaryota; Viridiplantae; Streptophyta; Magnoliopsida; Brassicales; Brassicaceae
Source: RefSeq, a predicted model, not a curated record
CUUACUAGAACUGGUUUUGCUUUUCAUUGUUACUUCCAAAGGUAUCUGAAGUUAAUCUCAAUCACCAUGUUACUUCUGCUUGAUCAGUUUAUUUAUAAAUUUGGAGAGAGCAACUGAAGCUGAGAUUUUGGAUAAAUUCGGAAACAGAGAGGUGUUUUGUAUCACUGUCCUCCAGAAACAGAGCUCAGGUGAAGUCAACACCCUUUGAUGUCACGGCAAUGCUAUGACCAGGACCUGCAAGUGCUUGUGAUUUCUCCCGCCUGCAACCAAACUCACCAGCUAGCAAGAAGUUUAAAACCAGCUUCCACGAGCCUCCACAUCUCCUUUUGAUAUCUUGGCGUUCUUCAUCUCCCAUACAUUUAAAGAUUACUCUCUUUUGGCAAAUGUGGAGAGCUGCAUCUCCUGUGAUUAUUGUUGUGUGUCCUCUUUACAUUUUCUUAACUAUUAAGUGUGGAUGUUAGACUUUAAAUACAUUUUUAAUAAAAAAAAAUUAGACACCAACA